AUUGAACGCUGGCGGCAUGCCUUACACAUGCAAGUCGAACGGCAGCACGGGUGCUUGCACCUGGUGGCGAGUGGCGAACGGGUGAGUAAUACAUCGGAACAUGUCCUGUAGUGGGGGAUAGCCCGGCGAAAGCCGGAUUAAUACCGCAUACGAUCUACGGAUGAAAGCGGGGGACCUUCGGGCCUCGCGCUAUAGGGUUGGCCGAUGGCUGAUUAGCUAGUUGGUGGGGUAAAGUCCUACCAAGGCGACGAUCAGUAGCUGGUCUGAGAGGACGACCAGCCACACUGGGACUGAGGCACGGCCCAGACUCCUACGGGAGGCAGCAGUGGGGAAUUUUGGACAAUGGGCGAAAGCCUGAUCCAGCAAUGCCGCGUGUGUGAAGAAGGCCUUCGGGUUGUAAAGCACUUUUGUCCGGAAAGAAAUCCUUGGCUCUAAUACAGUCGGGGGAUGACGGUACCGGAAGAAUAAGCACCGGCUAACUACGUGCCAGCAGCCGCGGUAAUACGUAGGGUGCGAGCGUUAAUCGGAAUUACUGGGCGUAAAGCGUGCGCAGGCGGUUUGCUAAGACCGAUGUGAAAUCCCCGGGCUCAACCUGGGAACUGCAUUGGUGACUGGCAGGCUAGAGUAUGGCAGAGGGGGGUAGAAUUCCACGUGUAGCAGUGAAAUGCGUAGAGAUGUGGAGGAAUACCGAUGGCGAAGGCAGCCCCCUGGGCCAAUACUGACGCUCAUGCACGAAAGCGUGGGGAGCAAACAGGAUUAGAUACCCUGGUAGUCCACGCCCUAAACGAUGUCAACUAGUUGUUGGGGAUUCAUUUCCUUAGUAACGUAGCUAACGCGUGAAGUUGACCGCCUGGGGAGUACGGUCGCAAGAUUAAAACUCAAAGGAAUUGACGGGGACCCGCACAAGCGGUGGAUGAUGUGGAUUAAUUCGAUGCAACGCGAAAAACCUUACCUACCCUUGACAUGGUCGGAAUCCCGCUGAGAGGUGGGAGUGCUCGAAAGAGAACCGGCGCACAGGUGCUGCAUGGCUGUCGUCAGCUCGUGUCGUGAGAUGUUGGGUUAAGUCCCGCAACGAGCGCAACCCUUGUCCUUAGUUGCUACGCAAGAGCACUCUAAGGAGACUGCCGGUGACAAACCGGAGGAAGGUGGGGAUGACGUCAAGUCCUCAUGGCCCUUAUGGGUAGGGCUUCACACGUCAUACAAUGGUCGGAACAGAGGGUUGCCAACCCGCGAGGGGGAGCUAAUCCCAGAAAACCGAUCGUAGUCCGGAUUGCACUCUGCAACUCGAGUGCAUGAAGCUGGAAUCGCUAGUAAUCGCGGAUCAGCAUGCCGCGGUGAAUACGUUCCCGGGUCU
RNAcentral lists this ribosomal RNA (1354 nucleotides) under uncultured bacterium. Its description in RNAcentral is "bacterial SSU rRNA". It matches the Rfam family "Bacterial small subunit ribosomal RNA", at positions 28 to 1381 of the family's 1533-position model. The record is from RNAcentral.